CCCUGUAUUCGAAAGUGAUCGUGGGCUGCCCGUGCCCUGGUCAUUGAUAGUGCAGGGAGAGGAAUCGAUGAAAGUGCUUCCCCGUGUUUGGAGGGUCCACUCCUGUCCCUUGCAAACUCUGGAGCUUUUGUACA
Callithrix jacchus (white-tufted-ear marmoset) is the source of this 134-nucleotide small nucleolar RNA. Its record names the gene SNORA71. It matches the Rfam family "Small nucleolar RNA SNORA71". From Rfam's summary of the family: The members of this family belong to the H/ACA class of snoRNAs which bind a number of proteins (including dyskerin, Gar1p and Nop10p) to form snoRNP complexes. The record is from Ensembl. Lineage: Eukaryota; Metazoa; Chordata; Mammalia; Primates; Cebidae.